This 253-nucleotide ribosomal RNA is filed under the name uncultured bacterium. RNAcentral's name for it is "partial 16S ribosomal RNA". It matches the Rfam family "Bacterial small subunit ribosomal RNA", at positions 524 to 776 of the family's 1533-position model. The record is from RNAcentral.
UACGUAGGGUGCGAGCGUUGUUCGGAAUUACUGGGCGUAAAGGGCGCGUAGGCGGUUUGCUAAGUUGGAUGUGAAAACUCUGGGCUUAACCCAGAGCCUGCAUCCAAAACUGGCAAACUUGAGUACUGGAGGGGAAAGCGGAAUUCCUGGUGUAGCGGUGAAAUGCGUAGAUAUCAGGAGGAACACCGGUGGCGAAGGCGGCUUUCUGGACAGUAACUGACGCUGAGGCGCGAAAGCUAGGGGAGCAAACAGG